UACGUAGGCAGCAAGCGUUGUUCGGAUUUACUGGGCGUAAAGGGCGCGCAGGCGGUUCUGUUUGUCGAGUGUGAAAGCCCCGGGCUCAACCUGGGAACUGCGCUCGAAACGGCGGAACUAGAGUUCGGGAGAGGAGAGUGGAAUUCCCAGUGUAGAGGUGAAAUUCGUAGAUAUUGGGAAGAACACCGGUGGCGAAGGCGGCUCUCUGGACCGAUACUGACGCUGAGGCGCGAAAGCGUGGGGAGCAAACGGG
This 253-nucleotide ribosomal RNA is filed under the name uncultured bacterium. Its description in RNAcentral is "partial 16S ribosomal RNA". It matches the Rfam family "Bacterial small subunit ribosomal RNA", at positions 524 to 776 of the family's 1533-position model. The record is from RNAcentral.